UACCUACGGGGGGCAGCAGUAGGGAAUCUUCCACAAUGGACGAAAGUCUGAUGGAGCAACGCCGCGUGAGUGAGGAAGGUCUUAGGAUUGUAAAAUUCUGUCCUAUGGGAAGAAACAAAUGACGGUACCAUAGGAGGAAGCCCCGGCUAACUACGUGCCAGCAGCCGCGGUAAUACGUAGGGGGCGAGCGUUGUCCGGAAUUACUGGGCGUAAAGAGAGCGUAGGCGGCACUACAAGUCUCAUGUGAAAUACCCGGGCUUAACUUGGGGGUUGCAUGGGAAACUGUAGAGCUUGAGUACAGGAGG
This 305-nucleotide ribosomal RNA is filed under the name uncultured bacterium. RNAcentral's name for it is "bacterial SSU rRNA". It matches the Rfam family "Bacterial small subunit ribosomal RNA", at positions 335 to 655 of the family's 1533-position model. The record is from RNAcentral.